Lepus europaeus (European hare) is the source of this 617-nucleotide long non-coding RNA. RefSeq lists it as uncharacterized. The record is from RefSeq and is a predicted model, not a curated record. The transcript is spliced from 3 exons. NCBI's taxonomy places the organism in Eukaryota, Metazoa, Chordata, Mammalia, Lagomorpha, Leporidae.
UUGCAAACAGUUCAUCUCAACAUUUUGGUAAGCAUGGGCAGUUCUACAGGCCUAACAGGAAUGGCUUAGCCUAAGUUAACACUCUUAGCGGGAUGAGGAUCCCACAGUUUGAAGAGUUGCAGUACGGCCAGAGUGUAAGGUAUAAGGGGCAGGUGGGCAGAGUCAGGGUGGGCCUGUGCCCCGGGCCCCAUUGGAAGCUCCCUACAGACCAGGCUAAGGCACGUGCAUCCCAUCUCGGAGACGGAAGCAGCCAGGGAUUUAAGCACAACUGGCGACAUCGCACCCAGGGAACAGAGCAUGGAGACACACACUGUGGCCCGCAGGUGCCUCAGCUGCCCAAUGACGCAUGUCCUGCGCACUGACGUGUCGCUGACCAGAACAAAGCUCAUGCCACGCCUAGCUGCAAGGGAGCAUGAGUGCAGAGGAGAAGCGCCAGGACUCUCGGACAACAGCGGAGGAUGGCUCAAGUGCUUGGGCCCCUGGACCCACGUAGGAGGCCCAGAAGUUCCUGGCUCCUGGCUUCAGAUGAGCGCAGCUCUAGCCAUUGCAGCCAUUUGGGGAGUGAACCAGCAGAUGGAAGACCUCUCUCUCUCUCUCUGCCUCUGCCAUUCUGUAAC